RNAcentral lists this transfer RNA (74 nucleotides) under Thermoprotei archaeon. RNAcentral describes it as "tRNA-Pro". It matches the Rfam family "tRNA". From Rfam's summary of the family: Transfer RNA (tRNA) molecules are approximately 80 nucleotides in length. Their secondary structure includes four short double-helical elements and three loops (D, anti-codon, and T loops). RNAcentral also lists the same sequence under 1 other name. Lineage: Archaea; Thermoproteati; Thermoproteota; Thermoprotei. The record is from RNAcentral.
GGGGCCGUAGUCCAGCUUGGCAGGAUGCGCGGCUCGGGCCCGCGUGGACCCGGGUUCAAAUCCCGGCGGCCCCA